Molecule: long non-coding RNA, 316 nt
Filed under: Elaeis guineensis (African oil palm)
Lineage: Eukaryota; Viridiplantae; Streptophyta; Magnoliopsida; Arecales; Arecaceae
Description: long non-coding RNA (EGUI_LNC062896)
Source: RNAcentral
CGUGAGAGGAUAAAGACAAGUGGUUACACAUUUGAAUUCAAAUCAAAUUUGAAUUCAAAUGCAAAUCAACUCAUCCCUAUCCACUUGGGCGUGAGAAGAGAAGGUGCGAGGCUGCAUUGUGCAUAGAAAGGUUUUACAAGAAACUCUUUCUCAUGUGAGAUAUGGGGCGCUAAAGUGGUAGGGUCAUGAAGGCACAAGAGAUAAGUUAUCCAUUCAAAUUCAAACAUGCUUUGAAUUUGAAUGGCUAACUAAUCAAUUUUAUCCAAAGAUUGGCGCACAAGAGUGGGUGUGAGAAGGGCUUUGCAUGAGAGAAAAU